GGACUACUCGGGUAUCUAAUCCUGUUUGCUCCCCUUGCUCUCGCGCCUCAGCGUCAGGUCUAAGCUAGAAAAUCGCUUUCGCCACAGGUGUUCCUCCACAUAUCUACGCAUUUCACCGCUACACGUGGAAUUCCAUUUUCUCCGCCAUCCCUCUAGAUCUUCAGUUUCAAAUGCAGCUCCGAAGUUGAGCUUCGGAAUUUCACAUCUGACUUGUAGACCCGCCUACGCGCCCUUUACGCCCAAUAAUUCCGAUUAAUGCUUGCACCCUCCGUAUUACCGCGGCUGCUGGCAC
Molecule: ribosomal RNA, 292 nt
Filed under: uncultured bacterium
Lineage: Bacteria
Description: partial 16S ribosomal RNA
Source: RNAcentral